UCAUGAGCUUGCUUCACCAGCAUCGAGUUGACCGUGACCACUUGCUUUUGCCUCCUUUUUAAAAAUAAUACAUUAUUUGUUUUUGCAACAUUGGUCAUUGGGGGCUUGUACUACAAAUUUCUCUUAAAUGCCUGGAAUGUCACCUUUGCACUCAGGUUCCCCUUAUAAAUCUAAUAAACAGGGAUUAUAUGCUUAAAAUGGAUGAUGUUCUCUGUACGCAAGACAACUUCAGGAAGAACAAAUGUGUCUGGAAAUACCUGAAAUUCCUGGAGUCGGUAAAUUUGUUGUAAGUACGGAUUCCGUCCAUGACCCGACUCUCUUGCAGCAGAAAUAACCAGCUGUGAGAAUUUACAUAAAUAUGUUUAAUAUACUGUUAUUAAAAUAACAGUUUCAAUAUUUAAGAGGCAAAUAAACCAGAUUCUAAAUAUAUUCCAAAAGUUAAAAACAUAAGAAAGCAUCACUUUCUGAUUAAAUAUAUUUUUGAUUCAGCCCAGAUUUAACAAUAAAUUGGACGAGACAAUAAGUUGUGUCCUGGAGCUCUUUUAAAGCCUCCCACUCUAAAGUUUGACGUGUUACUUUUUGGCCGUGCCGAUUUAGGUUUCAGGCAGGUAUUUUCAGAAACCGUCGGCCCAUAUAUCUGACGUGGAAAAUAUAUAUAAAUAAAUCUGCCCGCCGUUUGUCAAUAACAAUGACUCAAAUACUCCCACUGCGCUGAAUUUCUUGAGAUUUAGGUGGAUAACGGCAAAAAGGAAGCAAUGUCAGUCACGAAACUAUUGAUUGGACUUUUGUCGGCUUCUGUUUUAGUCAAUGCCUGUGUGAAUACUAAAGGUUGACAUUAUUAUUCAUGCCUGGAACCCAUGAAGUAAAACUCAUGCGGCUGUGAUGUUUGUUGCUAAUUAAGAUUGAUUCAUAUAUUCAGUAUAUUACUGGUUAACAUUAAAAUGUGUGCUGAGAAAUGUUUUAAAGGUUAACAACUCUGCAGCAAAAACAAAGUUUAAAAAAAAUGUAGUUUUAAUAUUUGAUGUGGAAAAUUUGUUUGCACACACACUGAACAUCUGAUGCAAUACCACCACUAGCAAGCUGAUUGCUAUUAAGUUUACAGACAACUGAACAUUAUUGAUUAUGCAAACUGUUCAAUGCAGUACAGUACAAUGAAAUAAAUGUUUUCGUGGUUAUUUAUGGAGAAGACAGUGGAACGAUGAACACUCAAUGACUUUUAAUUGGU
This is a long non-coding RNA of Gasterosteus aculeatus aculeatus (three-spined stickleback), 1225 nucleotides long. The record is from Ensembl. Lineage: Eukaryota; Metazoa; Chordata; Actinopteri; Perciformes; Gasterosteidae.